RNAcentral lists this ribosomal RNA (270 nucleotides) under uncultured bacterium. RNAcentral's name for it is "partial 16S ribosomal RNA". It matches the Rfam family "Bacterial small subunit ribosomal RNA", at positions 28 to 299 of the family's 1533-position model. The record is from RNAcentral.
GAUAAACGCUGGCGGCGUGCCUUAUGCAUGCAAGUCGAACGAGGCUAGGACUUCGGUCCGAAACCUAGUGGCGAACGGGUGAGUAACACGUACGUGACCUGUCCAGAAGUGGGGGAUAACCGGCCGAAAGGUUGGCUAAUACCGCAUGUGAUUACCCCUUGGAAGGGGCAAAUCAAAGUCGAAAGACGCUUUUGGAGGGGCGUGCGGCCGAUUAGCUUGUUGGUGUGGUAACGGCGCACCAAGGCAGUGAUCGGUAGCUGGUCUGAGAGG